RNAcentral lists this ribosomal RNA (433 nucleotides) under uncultured bacterium. Its description in RNAcentral is "partial 16S ribosomal RNA". It matches the Rfam family "Bacterial small subunit ribosomal RNA", at positions 29 to 507 of the family's 1533-position model. The record is from RNAcentral.
AACGAAUGCUGGCGGCAGGCCUAACACAUGCAAGUCGAGCGAGGACUUCGGUUCUAGCGGCGGACGGGUGAGUAACGCGUGGGAAUGUGCCCUUCUCUACGGAAUAGCCCUGGGAAACUGGGAGUAAUACCGUAUACGCCCUAUUGGGGAAAGAUUUAUCGGAGAAGGAUCAGCCCGCGUUGGAUUAGGUAGUUGGUGGGGUAAUGGCCUACCAAGCCGACGAUCCAUAGCUGGUUUGAGAGGAUGAUCAGCCACACUGGGACUGAGACACGGCCCAGACUCCUACGGGAGGCAGCAGUGGGGAAUCUUAGACAAUGGGGGCAACCCUGAUCUAGCCAUGCCGCGUGAGUGAUGAAGGCCUUAGGGUUGUAAAGCUCUUUCAGCUGGGAAGAUAAUGACGGUACCAGCAGAAGAAGCCCCGGCUAACUCCGUG